UAAAAACAAUAAGUUUAUACAAAUCCAAAAAUAGAAAUUAAAAAUACAAAACUCUUGCCCCUUUGUUAAGGCUACAUCCAGGCUACAUCCGGCCCUAGUGCAGAGCUAGGCCUUCCAUGGAGAAUUGAAAAGUGGCAGCGCCAAUGCCAAGAGCUUCCAUCUCAAUCGGCCCUUCUUUGCUUCCUCCCCUCUCUGGUUCUCUCCUCCCUUCUGUCUCCCGUGGAACUCCUCCGAAUAAAAGAAUGAUGGAUGGGAUUGGGUGAGAAAGAAUGGGUGAGAAGAAUGCCUCCUUCCCUUCACAUCUUGACUCCUUUUAUAGGCUGCCCCCCCUUCCCCUGUUCCGAAGCAAGGGAGAUAAGAACACGGAAUGCUUGUGAGAGCUGAUCGUGGGAUAUCUUGGAGAUUUGCUGAGAUUGGAGUUCAUCCGGGAGAAGAUCUCUAUUCCGUUGAUGAGAGCUGAUGCCGUUUGGGAGUGAUCCGGAAGACUUUUGAGUUAGAUCCAUGGGUGAGCAGCUGGGAGGAUGGAAUCAAAUCUAUGCGGAUGGUGGAUGGAUGCUGGGACACGAUCCACGGAAUGAACUCUGUUCUGUUUCCGAAACAGGGGAAGAAAUGGAUUGUGUAAGGCUUGGGAGGAUGACGUGGAAGGAACGUGGAGAGCAUGGGAUGCUGAUCCUUGGAGCUCGGAUGGCAGGGAUUUGCUGGACAACUGCGAAUGGGAGGGAGUUUGGGACUUAUUUGAAGCAGGGGAGAAGCUUGAAUGCGGUGGACGGCUGGGAUGCUGGGGAGCUGAUCCGAAAGAUGAAGUCCUGCUGGAUUUGGGGCUUAUAACCAUGGGAUAUAAGCUAUCUUGAUUCGAAAUAGGAAAUCUAGGGGAUGAUCCACGGCGUUAGGAAGCUCGGACAUUAGCUGAAAAUCAGAAAAUGAAGGUGUGAGGUUAAUCCAAAUGCUGGGACUUGGCUGGCUUGAUCUGUGAUGAAGAUAAGAUGAGCUGGGAGCAGGGGAUGCAGAUGGGAGCUUCUAAUUCGUGAGCUACUCUGUGGGAUAUUGAAAGGAUGCGGAGAAGACUUUAUGAAGUUGAGAGGAUCUCGGCUGAUGGCUGGGAGAUGAAGCUCGAUCGCAGAUGAUUCAGGAGGAUGAGGAUGAAGACGGAGACAUGGGAGUUAGGGAGGGAUUUGCGGAUGGAGUGGACCAUGGUCGCGGGAGAAGAUGACGCUGGGACUUUGCUCUGUUCUUGGGUCCGAAUGGUAUGCACAAUGGGAUGAAAGGGAGAUGAGUUGGGAUUCUUAUCCGUGGGAGAUGAAGAUGUUGAAUUUUUAAAUGAAG
Molecule: long non-coding RNA, 1323 nt
Filed under: Phoenix dactylifera (date palm)
Lineage: Eukaryota; Viridiplantae; Streptophyta; Magnoliopsida; Arecales; Arecaceae
Description: long non-coding RNA (PDAC_LNC007508)
Source: RNAcentral